Molecule: ribosomal RNA, 163 nt
Filed under: Faberia nanchuanensis
Lineage: Eukaryota; Viridiplantae; Streptophyta; Magnoliopsida; Asterales; Asteraceae
Description: 5.8S ribosomal RNA
Rfam family: 5.8S ribosomal RNA
About the family: 5.8S ribosomal RNA (5.8S rRNA) is a component of the large subunit of the eukaryotic ribosome.
Source: RNAcentral
ACGACUCUCGGCAACGGAUAUCUCGGCUCACGCAUCGAUGAAGAACGUAGCAAAAUGCGAUACUUGGUGUGAAUUGCAGAAUCCCGUGAACCAUCGAGUUUUUGAACGCAAGUUGCGCCCAAAGCCAUCCGGCUGAGGGCAUGCCUGCCUGGGCGUCACGCAU